GACUUUGUACUCUAGGAAAUGUAUCUUUGAUAAAUUGAAGCAACUUGGUUCACUUGCUUUCUUCUUUAUUUUCUCUAUUUUAGGGCAAACACUGCAUCCUCGAUGUGUCUGGAAAUGCCAUAAAAAGAUUACAGAUUGCGCAGCUUUACCCAAUAUCCAUUUUUAUUAAACCCAAAUCCAUGGAAAAUAUCAUGGAAAUGAAUAAGCGUCUAACAGAAGAACAAGCCAGAAAAACAUUUGAGAGAGCAAUGAAACUGGAACAGGAAUUUACUGAACAUUUCACAGCUAUUGUACAGGGAGAUACGCUAGAAGACAUUUACAACCAAGUGAAGCAGAUUAUAGAAGAGCAGUCUGGUCCUUACAUCUGGGUCCCAGCAAAAGAAAAAUUGUGAAGACUGAUGUUUCUGUAUUUCUCUUUUCCAUAAUCUCAUUUUCUUUGACAUGUCUUUGCUCUUUCCUUCUGGAGUCUGUCUUCGGUACCCCUUUCAUGUUGAUUCAUAUCCCACUCAUUAUGGUCUGCACUUGUGCUUAGUUUUUACAUCUAGUGUCUCCUUCACAUUGUAUCAUCUGUAUUAUUUUAUGUCACUCUUGGUUUGUGGCCAUUUUUCAGAACUGAAGAUGGAUGACCUGAUCAGCUAUUAAGGGUUUAGGGAGAUGUGGAAAUUGUGGUAGAAUUCCUUAAUGUUUAAGGAAAAAUAACUUUAAAAGAUUUUCAGAAAAGCUUUACAUACAUUGUUUUAAAAUUUUAAUACAAGUGAAAGAAAAGUGGUUUUAAUCAGUGAUUUAGAAGACUUUAAGCAACUAUGCACGCUUAACUUUAAUAGCAUGGUUUGGCCAUUGUAUUAGUUCUCAAUCCUUUUCUCAAUUGACUUCUGUUAUUAAAGUAAUUAUUUCAUUAUAACAAAAAAGAAAAUGGUUUUUUAUUUCAAAAUUAAUCUCUGAGUUAACUUUCAUAAUUUCACAAAAAAAGGAUAUUCAUUUUUCAUAAGAGUUCUUAAAAGUCUUUUAUUGUUUGAAAGAUUUCCCCAGUACAUUUGCUAGGAAUAACAGUGUUCAAAUGUUUUUAAUCUCCUUGUACAGCACUACUUAUAGUGUCUUCAAAAGUGGUUCAUGCAUAAAUGAUCAUCACAUUUUCUGAAUUCAGGCCAUGUUUAGGUGCUAGGGGAGUUCAUGUUUUACACAGAAGGUAGAGAAGAUUUCAUACACAUAAAUGCAGACAAAACAGACACUUCAGUGGAGAUGCAGUAAUUGUUAUGGCAAUGAAAGGGAGUCCAAUUCAUAGCCUAAAACUUUAAAUGUACGCUUAGGGCUCAGAUUUGAUGAGUAUUUUACCCACAAUAACUGCCUAUUUUGUUAUAAAAUAUAUAUAAAUAUAAAUAUAUAUAAAACUUUCUUUAAACUCUGUAACUAUGGGAAUUAUUUUCUUUACAUAGUUGCAUACA
This is a non-coding RNA of Castor canadensis (American beaver), 1442 nucleotides long. The record is from RefSeq and is a predicted model, not a curated record. Lineage: Eukaryota; Metazoa; Chordata; Mammalia; Rodentia; Castoridae.